UGGGGAAUCUUGCGCAAUGGGGGAAACCCUGACGCAGCGACGCCGCGUGCGGGAUGAAGGCCUUCGGGUUGUAAACCGCUUUCAGCAGGGACGAGGCCUUAUGGUGACGGUACCUGCAGAAGAAGCUCCGGCUAAAUACGUGCCAGCAGCCGCGGUAAUACGUAUGGAGCAAGCGUUAUCCGGAUUCAUUGGGCGUAAAGCGCUCGUAGGCGGUCUGUUAGGUCGGCAAGUUAAAUCCGGGGGCUAAACCCCCGUCCGCUUCCGAUACCGGCAGACUUGAGUUUGGUAGGGGAAGGUGGAAUUCCUAGUGUAGCGGUGGAAUGCGCAGAUAUUAGGAAGAACACCGGUGGCGAAGGCGGCCUUCUGGGCCAUAACUGACGCUGAGGAGCGAAAGCUAGGGGAGCGAACAGG
RNAcentral lists this ribosomal RNA (411 nucleotides) under Verrucomicrobiota bacterium. RNAcentral describes it as "Verrucomicrobia bacterium partial 16S ribosomal RNA". It matches the Rfam family "Bacterial small subunit ribosomal RNA", at positions 355 to 776 of the family's 1533-position model. Lineage: Bacteria; Pseudomonadati; Verrucomicrobiota. The record is from RNAcentral.